RNAcentral lists this ribosomal RNA (1540 nucleotides) under Klebsiella aerogenes. Its description in RNAcentral is "bacterial SSU rRNA". It matches the Rfam family "Bacterial small subunit ribosomal RNA". The record is from RNAcentral. Lineage: Bacteria; Pseudomonadati; Pseudomonadota; Gammaproteobacteria; Enterobacterales; Enterobacteriaceae.
AAAUUGAAGAGUUUGAUCAUGGCUCAGAUUGAACGCUGGCGGCAGGCCUAACACAUGCAAGUCGAGCGGUAACACAGAGAGCUUGCUCUCGGGUGACGAGCGGCGGACGGGUGAGUAAUGUCUGGGAAACUGCCUGAUGGAGGGGGAUAACUACUGGAAACGGUAGCUAAUACCGCAUAACGUCGCAAGACCAAAGUGGGGGACCUUCGGGCCUCAUGCCAUCAGAUGUGCCCAGAUGGGAUUAGCUAGUAGGUGGGGUAAUGGCUCACCUAGGCGACGAUCCCUAGCUGGUCUGAGAGGAUGACCAGCCACACUGGAACUGAGACACGGUCCAGACUCCUACGGGAGGCAGCAGUGGGGAAUAUUGCACAAUGGGCGCAAGCCUGAUGCAGCCAUGCCGCGUGUAUGAAGAAGGCCUUCGGGUUGUAAAGUACUUUCAGCGAGGAGGAAGGCGUUAAGGUUAAUAACCUUGGCGAUUGACGUUACUCGCAGAAGAAGCACCGGCUAACUCCGUGCCAGCAGCCGCGGUAAUACGGAGGGUGCAAGCGUUAAUCGGAAUUACUGGGCGUAAAGCGCACGCAGGCGGUCUGUCAAGUCGGAUGUGAAAUCCCCGGGCUCAACCUGGGAACUGCAUUCGAAACUGGCAGGCUAGAGUCUUGUAGAGGGGGGUAGAAUUCCAGGUGUAGCGGUGAAAUGCGUAGAGAUCUGGAGGAAUACCGGUGGCGAAGGCGGCCCCCUGGACAAAGACUGACGCUCAGGUGCGAAAGCGUGGGGAGCAAACAGGAUUAGAUACCCUGGUAGUCCACGCCGUAAACGAUGUCGACUUGGAGGUUGUGCCCUUGAGGCGUGGCUUCCGGAGCUAACGCGUUAAGUCGACCGCCUGGGGAGUACGGCCGCAAGGUUAAAACUCAAAUGAAUUGACGGGGGCCCGCACAAGCGGUGGAGCAUGUGGUUUAAUUCGAUGCAACGCGAAGAACCUUACCUACUCUUGACAUCCAGAGAACUUAGCAGAGAUGCUUUGGUGCCUUCGGGAACUCUGAGACAGGUGCUGCAUGGCUGUCGUCAGCUCGUGUUGUGAAAUGUUGGGUUAAGUCCCGCAACGAGCGCAACCCUUAUCCUUUGUUGCCAGCGGUUAGGCCGGGAACUCAAAGGAGACUGCCAGUGAUAAACUGGAGGAAGGUGGGGAUGACGUCAAGUCAUCAUGGCCCUUACGAGUAGGGCUACACACGUGCUACAAUGGCAUAUACAAAGAGAAGCGACCUCGCGAGAGCAAGCGGACCUCAUAAAGUAUGUCGUAGUCCGGAUUGGAGUCUGCAACUCGACUCCAUGAAGUCGGAAUCGCUAGUAAUCGUAGAUCAGAAUGCUACGGUGAAUACGUUCCCGGGCCUUGUACACACCGCCCGUCACACCAUGGGAGUGGGUUGCAAAAGAAGUAGGUAGCUUAACCUUCGGGAGGGCGCUUACCACUUUGUGAUUCAUGACUGGGGUGAAGUCGUAACAAGGUAACCGUAGGGGAACCUGCGGUUGGAUCACCUCCUUA